This 490-nucleotide ribosomal RNA is filed under the name uncultured bacterium. RNAcentral describes it as "partial 16S ribosomal RNA". It matches the Rfam family "Bacterial small subunit ribosomal RNA", at positions 30 to 507 of the family's 1533-position model. The record is from RNAcentral.
AUUGAACGCUGGCGGCAGGCCUAACACAUGCCAGUCGAACGGUAACAGGAAGAAGCUUGCUUCUUUGCUGACGAGUGGCGGACGGGUGAGUAAUGUCUGGGAAACUGCCUGAUGGAGGGGGAUAACUACUGGAAACGGUAGCUAAUACCGCAUAACGUCGCAAGACCAAAAAGGGGGACCUUCGGGCCUCUUGCCAUCGGAUGUGCCCAGAUGGGAUUAGCUAGUAGGUGGGGUAACGGCUCACCUAGGCGACGAUCCCUAGCUGGUCUGAGAGGAUGACCAGCCACACUGGAACUGACACACGGUCCAGACUCCUACGGGAGGCAGCAGUGGGGAAUAUUGCACAGUGGGCGCAAGCCUGAUGCAGCCAUGCCGCGUGUAUGAAGAAGGCCUUCGGGUUGUAAAGUACUUUCAGCGGGGAGGAAGGGAGUAAAGUUAAUACCUUUGCUCAUUGACGUUACCCGCAGAAGAAGCACCGGCUAACUCCGUG